AUUCCCGUCUUAUUUUCCACUUUUCCAGUUUUAUCUCGAAAUGAAUAACAGAAAAUUUCAUAUCGCCCCAGCUAUGUACUUACAUAUGUACAUAUGUAUGUACAUAUCGACGGUGAUUCCGAUCCGAUUCGGUCUCGUGUACUUUUUUGCUAAACAAACCCCCGUUCGCACCUUAUCAGCAUCGCAUCGCUUGGAGCUGACGGCAUGACGGAGGGCGCUAUAUAAGAUCGGUAGAUUGACUGGAAAAAGCAUCAGACGUUCAGUUAACUCCAAAGACAACAUAUAAUCAGCGCAUCUCGCUUUCUAUAACGCAAGAAAUAUACUUAGAAAAUUUCAUCAUGAACUUCUACAAGAUCUUCUUCGUCGUUGCCAUCAUCCUGGCCAUCGGGAUGGGGCAGUCGGAGGCCGGUUGGCUAAAGAAAAUUGGCAAGAAAAUAGUAAGACGUUUGCAUAAUAUACAAAUUUUUCAAAAUCUAAACCAUAACAUUAUUGACAGGAACGCGUUGGCCAGCACACUAGGGAUGCCACCAUCCAGGGACUGGGCAUUGCUCAACAAGCAGCCAAUGUGGCAGCCACAGCUAAAGGCUGAGGUCUCCUAAUUACAAAUAAUUGUAUUAAUAUUAUUAAAAUGUAUUUCAUAACCUGAGUAAAGUUACACAUUUAACAUUGAAGCAAUCCAUUUAAUGCUUCCUAAUCCUCGAGUUCAAUAUUUCUUCAUACAUUCUAUAUGUUUUAAUGGCCAUAUCUAUCUGCGUGUUUUCUUUGUACAUUAAUGUGCCUUAUACGUUCCGAGAUAGUUUUACUUGCCUGUUACGUAGACAUCCUACUAAAAUAUUCGUCUGAAAGAAAAAGUUAACGAACUCGUCGAAUAACCUAUUUUCAGAUGUCAUAUUUAGUAAGUUUUCCAGUUUUCCAGUUUUUACAUCAAAUGAGGGAUGAAGAGAGACUGUUCAGACCAGCAGUUUAACUUCAAAAUAAUUGAUAUAUUUUCAUAAACCUAAUUCUCUGACAUAAGUAAAUAAAAUGCAUUUAAUUGAAACUCACUAAUAUGAUACCUAAAAUCAAUGGCAGAAUUAUGGUUUCAACAAGAACAACAUCCGAAUGAAAAAAUAGAGAAUAAAUAGAGCAACAUACAUAUGUAUGAUGAUUCCAUUAAUGAACGCAAUUGGUCAUAGUACAUAUGUAAAUGCAUAGUAUACCCAAGUAGAGCGCUUCACGAGUGAUCAGUGGAACAGGGGAACGUGCAGUUCAUUAAUGCGCUCUCACUUGUGGCUUUUUUUUAUCAGCGCGUCUCUGCUUUAUCAAUAUCAGUUAUGGUGCCCUGGGCCCGCUCUGGUGAUUCCCAGUCGCGACUGAGGCAAAAAGUUCCCCCUACUGCAAAUUGCUUCCCUUUCAGUUAAGCACGGGCAAGAUAUUCAAACAUUUACAUAGCCGUCCAUUGUCUCCAGGUAGCCUGACAAUCAUCUUUAUGACGAAUAAGUGGAGGAUGAUAACCAACGCCUAAGUCAAUGUCUUCGUCAUCAGUGAUGCUUCCUUAACGUACAUGUAGGUAAGCAUUUUUUGUUUUUCGUUCUUCCUUCUGCUAUGUAUUCGAUCUUUCCCAUUAAUUUGUUAAGCUCAAGUCGAGAAUAGUCUCCAAGUUUUGUUUUACAACUGAAGUUCACUGGGCUUUUGGGAUCGCUCUUAGGCUUGAGUAUAUCCAGGAACCAGUUGCGGUAUUUACCCACUUACUUACGCUGCUGUGGACUUAAGCAACUUGUCUAAGGACAAGCAGUGGCAGUUAUGACACAGAACUCUGUUUCGCUAUCCCACUCCUUUUGUGUCUCCUCCUUGUGGCAAGUCUCCUGCCACUUGUAGCUGUCACUCAGCGGUUAAUUCGAGCGAUUUUAUUUACAUUUUGUGCGGCAACAGGACCGGAAAGGAGCAUCAGAAGCAGCAGUAGCAGAGUCUGUUAUGUGGCAUAAGAGUGUAAGGCAAAGUCAAGGCCCAAGAUGAAUAAAGCGUUUUUACUUGUUAAGGAAAUUAGUGGCAUAUCCUGACAAGGCGCAUAUCAUCCUACCCUCUCCAUAUCUGACUUGCUGUGUUUGUGUUUGUGUGAGUGUGUUGUGUUGUGUUUGAGCCUCCCCUACUGAUUUAAUUCAUUUGUUGUCUUUGCUUCGAGUCUAUUGUCUGCCCCCUCAUAAUUUUUUCUUGCAGUUGUUGUUGUUGGUUUUUUAUGGUUGAAAUUAAAGUUACAUUUGUGGUGGUUGAUAUGUGAACAAAGGUCCGCCCGGCACGCCCGAGCCAGGGACAUCUCCUCGCAUAGACCACGUACAGUUGUGUGUGAGGUCUCUGUGUGAAUUCCCGCUCUUCCCGGUGUACGAGUAUCAAUCCAAUAAAGCUCGUAUCAGCAUCUGGCCAAACACCACGCUAUGAUAUUUUCUGUUCUGAUCGGGGAUUCACAGUAAGUAUCCAUCGAAUCUGGUCGUUGUCUUUCUUGUCUAGCAGAGAAAUUCCCCGGAACAGUCGUUUCAGGCAAAUCAGCAGUCACCCAACGCAUACAAAAAUAGCCACAUCAGCAGCAUUUGCUGUCUACAAUCACAAAAACACUCCAAGAUUCUCAUCAUGAAUUCAACGAGAUCUUCAUCUUUGUUGCUCUGAACCUGGCCAUCAGCGUGGGACAAUCGGAAGCCGGCUGGCUGGAGAAACUAUGAAAAAGACUUGUGAGGUAAGACGCAGGUCAAUAAUUCAUUAGAAUCUCUACGGAUGCUCGUAUUAUUCUAUUUAGGAACGCGUUGGCCAGCAC
RNAcentral lists this long non-coding RNA (2785 nucleotides) under Drosophila guanche. Lineage: Eukaryota; Metazoa; Arthropoda; Insecta; Diptera; Drosophilidae. The record is from RNAcentral.